CCUACGGGCGGCUGCCGUUUCGAAUCAUUCACAAUGGGCGAAAGCCUGAUGGUGCGACGCCGCGUGAGGGAUGAAGGUCUUCGGAUUGUAAACCUCUGUCACUGGGGAGAAAACGCUUUGAGUUAAUAGUUCAAAGCCUGAUUUAACCCGGAGAGGAAGCAGUGGCUAACUCUGUGCCAGCAGCCGCGGUAAUACAGGGACUGCAAGCGUGAUUCGGGUUCGCUGGCCGUAAAGUGUGUCAGAGCGGUUAUCCCGAGGCUUAACCUCGGAACUGCGUCUGAAACUACUCGACUAGAGUACUGGAGAGGGAAACGGAAUUCACGGUGUAGCAGUGAAAUGCGUAGAUAUCGUGAGGAACACCAGAGGCGAAGGCGGUUUCCUGGACAGUUACUGACGCUCAGGCACGAAAGCAUGGGGAGCAAAAGGGAUUAGAUACCCGAGUAGUC
RNAcentral lists this ribosomal RNA (446 nucleotides) under uncultured bacterium. RNAcentral describes it as "partial 16S ribosomal RNA". It matches the Rfam family "Bacterial small subunit ribosomal RNA", at positions 338 to 795 of the family's 1533-position model. The record is from RNAcentral.